This 5310-nucleotide long non-coding RNA is filed under the name Sus scrofa (pig). RNAcentral describes it as "lncRNA (ENSSSCG00015001754.1)". The record is from RNAcentral. Lineage: Eukaryota; Metazoa; Chordata; Mammalia; Artiodactyla; Suidae.
UUUUUUUUUUUUUUUCCUUUAUUCUUUUUAGGGCUGCAUCUGUGACACCUGGAAGUUCCUAGGCUAGUGGUUGAAUCCAGCUGCCAGCCUACACCACAACCACAGCAAUGCCAGAUUCAAGCUGCAUCUGCAAACUACAUGGCAGCUUUCAGCAAAGUGAUAUCUUUGACUCACAGAGUGAGGCCAGGGAUCGAACUGACAUCUUCAUGGGUACUAGUCUNAAUCGGAGCUGAACUCCAUUUUUUAAAUCAAAAGCUUAUUAGUUGUUUUUUAGAAUGAAGGUUUGAUUCCCGAAUGCCAUAGAUACAUAUAAUUAUUCAGACAUAAGCUAAAUAAAUAAAUAAAUAAAUAAACCCCACCAGCUGUAAAAUUCACACACAAAAAACUGGCUGACCAAGGUGGGAAGGGGGGGAGGAAAUUAAAAUGAUCAAACAUUUUAGAAUAAGAAUAUUAAACAAUCAUAAACAUUUUUCAUUCAAGCAGGUAAUUAUUUAAAUACCUUAGGCUCAAUUUUUAUUUAUUCAUUUAACAAGUAUUUAGGCUCCAUUGUAUACAGACACACAUUUCUGUAUUUAUACAGCCUCCAAAGGCAGACACCCUAGAGCUUUCCUUGCAAACUCAGGUCAAUUUCUAUCUCUAAUUGGUCAUUUCAUGUUUCAAAAGAAAUCCAGUGGGUCUCAACCACUGGAAAAACCAAAAUCUUAGAAUUUGGAAGUGGAGAGAAUGGAAAAGAGGUCCAAACUACAUCUUUCAAUCACUAAUAGUUAUUGGCUUCCUAACCAGUAAAUAUACUAGUUUUCCACACAAUUUGAUUAAACUACAUAGUAAAAAUGCCUGAUGUGUGCCAGGCACGAUGCCAGGCAUGGAGGUUAUAGAGCGAGUAAAGCCAAGUCUUGCAGGAAUUCAUCUCAUAUUACACAAUGGGUGUGUUCUUGGGAAAACUGCAUAUAUGAAGCAAUUUUUAAUUAGUUGAAUUAUUUUCAGUUGUAUUUUAACAGAUACAGUAGAAAACACUUGUCAAAGUGAAAGUUCUGUCCGCUCAAUUCUUAUACAUCAGGUUUGCACGACUCAUUAGGCACUGCGUGCUACACAGAAAUAAAACUAAUGUAAUGACAAGUUCAGUCUUCAGUUGGUAUCAGUUUCUGGGCUCCCUGGGAUCACACACCAAUUGUGUGUAGGUAGAACCGAUGAAAGUUCUUUCUAUGGUAUUAAGAUAUGCUAGGUUGAUACUGGAUGCUUCCCAAAUCUGGGCUAUAUUUAAUGGUCAGUUGGCUGUGAAUCUCUUACAAAGGAAAUGGAAAAAGCAAAGAGACAACAAAAACUCUGCACACCAGAUUUUGAUGGCUCAGACCUUAGGUUUUGCUAUUUCCUGUUUAUAUUUUUAAAGAGACUAACGGUUGGCAUAAUUACUUGACUAAGGAUCCUUAAUUCUAAUACUAAACCAGAGAUUAGAAGUUAGACUGGGUGGUUCCUUCCUCAUAUUCCCCUGUAUGCGCCUCUAUUUUCAUUCUUACAGCAAAGAGGGCCUCCUCGUAAGAAAAGCUGGUCAAACAGAACUGGGGAUUCCAACACGGUAUUCCUUUAUUUUUUAAUGUUGGAGGGGACACUGGGCAUGAAUGUGAAGUUGUGAAUCUUUUGUGAAGAAUGAGCUUCAUUUAAGUGCUGUUAAGGCCCUAAGACUACAAGGAAAAAUACAGAGCCUCUGCCCAAGUUGGCAGGCUAUGGAGGGCUGCAUCUCGGUUGACCGAGUGGAUGGUAGCUAUGUUGUAAGUGCCACAAUACAGUUAUCAACACUUUCCUAUCACCGGAGCAACCUGUGUUACCCUUACAAUGCCCUGAAUGCAUUCAACGUCUGAGCACCAAUGAUGCUCCAGGCAUGAGUACUGAGGAGCCAGCAGUGACUAGGACAGACUCAAUUCUUAUCCUCAUGGAGCCUCCAGUCAGUGGGAUGGGCUGUCCCAGAGUUAGCUAGCAACGGUGCAGAGGCAGCACAUUACAGUGUGCUCUCGGAAGCAUAAAAAGAUUACAACUCUAAUAUAAAAUGUGGGGCUUCAUAGUAUAUCAGUGGAGGAAUAUUAUGAGUCGGAUAAGACUUUCCAAAGAUCCUUAAGUACAGACAUAAAUAAGAAGGAUGGUGGCUGUGAAAGUCAACAAAGUUUUGGCAGAUUCUAUACUUAAUAAAAUGGAGGAAAUUAUACAAACGGAUGAGCAUUUUUAAGCAAAAACGUUUGAUAAGCAACACCUUUCACAGGUUAGAGGAAUACAGAGUAGAGACCAAGAACUGCUUCCAACCAACAUCAAUAAUUCUGAGUGAUUCAGAAUGUGUUAGCAGACAAUGCAAAUGAAUGAUGUUCGUUUACAUAGUGAAAUUCCCUAAAAUGAACAGAAUGCAGGUGGCUGUGGUUUUUUAAAGUUGGACUGUCUCAUAAGUAAAAUAGAUUUUAGUAAAAGGAAACCAAAGAGAUCAUGUUUCUUUCUUGCUAGUUAUUUAAUAAAGAAAUAUUCGGGGAGAUAGCUUGAGAAAUUUGAAUUUGUGGUUCCCACUUUCUUUAAUGGUGAGUACUGUAAAAUGCUUCUGUAAAAAUACUACUUUUAUUCAAGCAACAUAUGGGAAAAAACUGUUACGUCACUUUAGAAUGUUAUAUUUAGAAAGGUAAUUUCCUUUCACCGAAGACCUUUUUUUUUUUUCUCUCUUCUCAGCCUUUCCACAUCAGUCAAAAAAACAGGCUUUGACAUAUCAGUUUUUUUUUAAAAAAAUGAACUACAAAGUAUAUGACAGAAUUUGGAUUUAACAUUCCUCUUGAAUCUAUUUCAAUGAGCUUUCAGGUUUGGGAAAACCUGAAUAUGGAGGGCUGGCUUCCAAUGAAACAUUUUAACAGUUCCUUCCAAACAGUGUUUCAUCAACACCCCACCAUUACAGCAACUAGUACUUCCUGGAAAUCUCUGGCUUUGCAAGUGUGGUCUUCACACACACACAAAAAGAGGGGAAAUGCUAAAAUUGAAUUAUGUAGCCCAUGAGGAAACUAGGGGGGUUAUACUUGACGUAUGCAAAGCAACCUUGUCACUUUACAUCUAUACUUGAGAAAACUCAUUUUCUUUUGAGUAGGUUUGGGAUGGAAAUGAUAUAAAAUUGGGUUGUGAUGACCUAAACUAUAAAUGUAAUAAAAUUCAUUGCAUAAUAAAAAAAGAAAGCAAAUUCUAGCUUACUGGGAAAGAUAAAAAGGGGUUUCACUUCCUCUCUUAGUCCCUGUAUCCUACAGUAAAUGUCAAAAAAAAAAAAAAAAAAAAAACCUCAUACCUCUGGACUUGAGAAAACUCAUUUUCUUUUGAUUAGGUUGCCAUUAGCAUACCUAGCAUGUGCUCACACAGUAAUUUUGCUAAUUUAAAAAGGUUCAAACUUAUUAUGAAUGCCGUUACAAAAUGUUUCAGAAAGGCUGAACUGAUUCUUUGCAUAAUGUUUUCAGUUUUCUUCACAGAAAACCAUUAGGAUUUUCUGCAAUCUUAUCUUGCAAGUUUAGAUUAUAUUAAGCAUGGUUUAUUUAUUUGAGAAUGCCUUUUAUUUAGAAUAAAUAUAUGUGGUCUUUAGUUUCUACCUCCACCAAUAGAUUAAUAUAUUGUCUGAUUCAGUUUAUGUGCAUUUUUAGCCCAGAUAUUUGUGUGUGUGCCAUGGCUCAUAAUAGCAUGGGCAUUUGGUCAAUGAUAUUAAAAUUAAACCCAGACACUAAAACAUGGACAAAGCAAAAUAUCCAUCAACAGAUGAAUGCAUAAGAAGAUGUGGUGUGUAUGUACAAUGGAAUACUACUUGGCCAUAAAAAAGAAUGAAGCAAUGUCAUUUUUAGUAACACGGAUGGACCUGGAGAUUAUCAUUAUUAAGUAAAGUAAGUCCGAAAGAGAAAGACAAAUAUUAUAUGAUAUCAUAUAUAUGUGGAAUCUAAAAUAUGACACAAAUGAACUUACCUAUGAAACAGAAACAGACUCACAGACAUAGAGAAGAGACUUGUGGUUGCCGAGGGGGAGGGAAGAGGGAGUAGGAUGGGCGGGGAGUUUGGAAUUAGCAGAGGCAAACUAUCACCCAUAGGAUGGAUAAACAAAAAGGUCCUACUGUACAGCACAGGGAACUAUAUUCAGCAUCCAGUGAUAAACCGUAAUGGAAAAGAAAAAAGAAGUUAAACACGGGAGUUCCCACAGUGGCUCAGUGGUAAUGAACCAAACUAGUAUCCAUGAGGAUGCAGGUUUGAUCUGUGGCCCUGCUCAGUGGGUUAAGGAUCGGCGUUGCUGAGAGCUGUGGUGUAGGUCACAGACACGGCUUGGAUCCCGGGUUGCUGUGGCUGUGGUGUAGGCUGGCGGGUUCAGCUCCAAUUCCAUUCCUAGUCUGGAAACUUCGAUAUAAUGUGGGUAUGGCCCUAAAAAGACAAAAACCACCAACCAACCAACCAACAAAAAAAACAAAAGAAAUUAAAUCCAGAGCAAAGUGCAGGCCUCUGCUACAGACACACGGCCACAAAUUUUACUAUGAAACUGAAAUAUAGCAUCUAUGAAAAAACUGAAAUAUAGUACCUACUACCAUAAAAUUGGUUAGAAUUGCACUUUCCUAUCUAAAUAUUUGGCAAAUAUAGGUAUUUGUUUAGCAUCUUGUCCCCCUUUCUUUUGUACAUGACAGCAUGUCCAAUACCCACCAUAUGGUGGUUGCUCACAAAUAGUUACUAAAUGAAUAACGGAUGCUUACUGGAUGGGUAGGCUAAGUGGGUUUUAAGUGAAAAAGUCCAGUUGAUAGAUAAAUGGUGAUAGGACACACCUUUUGGAGAAGAAGUGGUUGAAAAUACUGGAACAGGGAAAAUAAUCAAAAGUAUCACUGAAGGAGUUCUCAUCAUGGCGCAGAGGAAACAAAUCCGACUAGGAACCAUGAAGUCGUGGGCUUGAUCCCUGGCCUCGCUCAGUGGGUUAAGGAUCCCGAGUUGCCAUGAGCUGUGGCAUAGGUCACAGAUGUAGCUCGGAUCCUGCAUUGCUGUGGCUCAGAUCCUGCAUUGCUGUGGCUCGGAUCCUAGCUAUGCCACAGCUAGGCCGGCAGCUGUAGACCUUGUUUGACCCCUCGCCUGGGAACCUCCAUAUGUCAUGAGUGCGCUGCCCUCCUCCCCCCAAAAAGUAUCCCUGAAAAUACAAGAGGACACAGGACCCAGGACCCAGCGUUAGACACUUUUGCUGUUAUAACAAAGGUCGGGCAGAUGGGAGCUGGUAGAUUUGGUGGCAGGAAGUCGGCUGGUACGUUCUCAGGUGAGUGCUAUUUUCUCUGGGAAGUGAGACAAGAUGGUC